GCACAAGCAGCGGAGCGUGUGGUUUAAUUCGUUGCUACACGAAGAACCUUACCUGGGUUUGACAUAUAGGUUGUAGGGAACUGAAAAGGGACCGACCCUUCGGGGAGCCUAUACAGGUGUUGCAUGGCUGUCGUCAGCCCGUGUCGUGAGAUGUUCGGUUAAGUCCGCUAGCGAGCGCAACCCUCGCUGUGUGUUACAAGUGUCACACGGAACUGCCGGUCAUAAACCGGAGGAAGGUGGGAUGACGUCAAGUCAGCAUGGCCUUUAUAUCCUGGGCUACACACACGCUACAAUGGGAAGGGACAAUAGGUUGCGAAGCCGCGAGGCGGAGCCAAUCCAGCAAAACUUCCCUCAGUUCAGAUUGCAGGCUGCAACUCGCCUGCAUGAAGUUGGAGUUGCUAGUAAACGCAGGUCAGCCAUACUGCGUUGAAUACGUUCCCGGGGCUU
This 447-nucleotide ribosomal RNA is filed under the name uncultured Anaerolineaceae bacterium. RNAcentral describes it as "bacterial SSU rRNA". It matches the Rfam family "Bacterial small subunit ribosomal RNA", at positions 923 to 1382 of the family's 1533-position model. Lineage: Bacteria; Bacillati; Chloroflexota; Anaerolineae; Anaerolineales; Anaerolineaceae. The record is from RNAcentral.